This 492-nucleotide ribosomal RNA is filed under the name uncultured bacterium. RNAcentral's name for it is "partial 16S ribosomal RNA". It matches the Rfam family "Bacterial small subunit ribosomal RNA", at positions 29 to 507 of the family's 1533-position model. The record is from RNAcentral.
AGUGAACGCUGGCGGUAGGCCUAACACAUGCAAGUCGAACGGCAGCACAGUAAGAGCUUGCUCUUACGGGUGGCGAGUGGCGGACGGGUGAGGAAUACAUCGGAAUCUACUUUUUCGUGGGGGAUAACGUAGGGAAACUUACGCUAAUACCGCAUACGACCUACGGGUGAAAGCAGGGGAUCUUCGGACCUUGCGCGAUUGAAUGAGCCGAUGUCGGAUUAGCUAGUUGGCGGGGUAAAGGCCCACCAAGGCGACGAUCCGUAGCUGGUCUGAGAGGAUGAUCAGCCGCACUGGAACGGAGACACGGUCCAGACUCCUACGGGAGGCAGCAGUGGGGAAUAUUGGACAAUGGGCGCAAGCCUGAUCCAGCCAUACCGCGUGGGUGAAGGAGGCCUUCGGGUUGUAAAGCCCUUUUGUUGGGAAAGAAAAGCAGCAGGUUAAUACCCCGCUGUUCUGACGGUACCCAAAGAAUAAGCACCGGCUAACUUCGUG